Molecule: long non-coding RNA, 896 nt
Organism: Monodelphis domestica (gray short-tailed opossum)
Lineage: Eukaryota; Metazoa; Chordata; Mammalia; Didelphimorphia; Didelphidae
Source: Ensembl
AUGGGAGAGUUCCAUGAAGAUUCAAAAGGAAACUGUUGGCCGGAGAGAGAUUUCUGGUCAGUCUUCUUAUCUAAGACUCUGGGAAAGAGCUAGAUAGGAGAGUUACUCUUCUCAUACCCUUUUGCUUGGCUGAGCUGAAUGAAAGUUUCUUGCCCUAAAUUGAAGACAACCUUGGAUUACAAUUUCCCUGAGGGGAACUCAAAGCUAUAUUCCUUGAUGAUAGAUUUUGAUCCCACCAUCAAAAGUGGCCAUAGGAAAUAGUUAGCAGGGAUCUCCUUAUUUUUCCCUCUCCCCUCUCCCUUCUUUUCAAGAAAAUAAAUUAGAUAAUUUUAAAUUACAACAGAAUUGUUUCAAAAUCUAUGUAAUAGGAGGGAGGAUUUUCAAAUCAUCAAAAAGAAGGAGACUGUGAGGGGUUGACUUACCCACUGGUCUGGACUGACUGACUCCAUUAUAGUUGCCCAGCUUUAGUGGAGGAAAAGGAAGGUGUUACACAGAACUCAGUCCUGAAACCAGCUGCUUUCUGGUCCCUUCAUCUUUCAAGUCCCCCUCUCCCACUAUUACAUUACACAGAUCAAGGUCACAGUCCUAGGGAAGGUUGGAGCAAAGAGCAAGUGACCAGACCUCUCUUUGGGGCACACCAACUUGGAAACGUCAAAAACUUACAGACCUUCAGAUCAAGUUACAAAAGUUCAAUCUGGCCAUUCUCUCACUCAGGUAGGUAUAAUAGAAAGAGCUCAAGACCCGGAAUUAAAAAACUUUGAGGAUAGCAGUGUCAUUCAAAUCACCAGACCUCACUUCUAGCCCAGCACCCACAACCAUGAUUGAAGGAUGAGAUCAUUGUGAAGAAGAGGACCCACAUCCACCUUCUUCAUCACCAUCAGUAAUAACUACUAACC